CUCUCCUCUCCAUCUUCAUCUUCAUCUCCAUCUCGAUCUGCUCAGCUGAGCUCUUCAUUCUCUUCUCAAUCUCUGAACUCUAUCAUCGUGUAGAAGUGUAUCAUCAGGUAAUGACAGUGUUGUAUUGUGGUUCCGCACUAGGGUAAAAUUUAGGCGGAAAAGUUGGUUAUUUUGAAUUGCGGGUAUGAAGGAACGGCAAACUCUUCGAGAUGGGUUCUCGACGUACUUGUCAGAUGUUGAUGAUGAUAAAUUAGAUACUUCAGGAGACUCUAUUAAAGGAAUCGGUGAAUCCUUCAUGGAUAUUAUGUCAUUUCUUCCUUUUUAUUUGGUUACCAUCUUGGGGUAGUGAGAGAACCACUUGAAAGUAUUUCACUGGAUCUUGGUUUUAGCAGGAAUUCCCUUGCUGAAGGUCUGGUGGUGAGUACAUGUCUUGGUGGUGCAUUUCUUGGGUCCAUUUUAAGUGGUUCAACAGAAGAUGAUGUAUGGCGUCGUAGGGGUUUUCAGUUGAGUGAUUUACCAAUGAUUAUUGGGUCUUUUCUUAGCGCGAUAACAGAAAUCCUGGAAGGUAUGCUUCUUGGGAGGUUUCUUGUUGGAA
This is a long non-coding RNA of Papaver somniferum (opium poppy), 595 nucleotides long. RefSeq lists it as uncharacterized. The record is from RefSeq and is a predicted model, not a curated record. The transcript is spliced from 6 exons. Lineage: Eukaryota; Viridiplantae; Streptophyta; Magnoliopsida; Ranunculales; Papaveraceae.